Molecule: RNA transcript, 5121 nt
Organism: Manihot esculenta (cassava)
Lineage: Eukaryota; Viridiplantae; Streptophyta; Magnoliopsida; Malpighiales; Euphorbiaceae
Exons: 4
Source: RefSeq, a predicted model, not a curated record
GAAGUCCAUUAUUGAAAUAUUAACGAACCUUUUUCCCGUUAGAAAUCCGUAAGUGAAUUUAUUAUUUAUUUAAUAUAAAGGUUUUUCACUAACGGACUAAUCACAUCCGUUAGUGAAUUGUGGAGCCAAAUACACAAUCCUAAAUGAAAUUCCUAAAUCGUGUGCUUGGAAAAUCAAAAUCACUCUGAAAUCUGAACUUGCAUCCAACCUCUCGGUCGUUCACCGCCGCCGGCAUCCAUCGUCCACUGCCAUCAACGGUCCGCCGCCAUCCACCGUCGACAAGUGCGCCCUUUCUCGGCAUCACUGUCCACGACUGAGCCCGUAUCUCUCACCAGUCUUUCCCUUCUCGACGGACAGUGUCCACAGCCUAACCAACCUGGUUAUACUGCCCUGCUGCCUCCCCCUCCAGUAUAAGAUACUGCAAUUGAUAUCAGGCAAGUUCAAAUUCACUUAUGUUUGGUUCCAAAAUUAAUGACGUUAUCAGAUUAUCAUUUAGAUUUGACUUUGAAAUUCAGUAAUGUCUACACAUGAUAUAAUUACUGCAUAUUUUAUAUAUAAUGCAUAAUUUAAUUGUUGAUUUUCAGGCUCUAUUCAAAGAUAGGGCUUAUAAGUUUUUUGUUUUCAUAUCAGCAUCUUUAUUGUAGUUAAUAUGACUGCUGAAAGAAGUUGGAUGUAUGCCCGUCUCAGAGAUGGUUUACUGAAUCCCAGAUAUUUAGAGGGUAUCAAUGAAUAGGCUAAGACCUGCACAGAAUAUUUAAAUGGCGAUCAGAUUCGCUGUCCUUGCAAUCGAUUUAAGUGUCAAAACCGUAGCUUUCAAGAUGAAAAUACAGUUAAAUAUCAUUUAAUGAAGCAUGGUUUUGUGCAAAAUUACCUUGUUUGGUAUUUGCACGGUGAAACUGAAGUGCAUGACAGAUAUGGUGAUAUACUAUUAGACAUGUCUUACGGUUCUGACAGUGUUAAUCACCCAAAUUUCAAUCGUUUUGAGGACAUAGUCAUGGAUGCAACAAGCUGUCAUGUAAUGCAUAAUGAUACAUAUGAGAUGCCAAACUCGGUUGCACAGAAACUGUAUGAUAUGUUAAAUGCAUCUAAGCAAGAACUAUGGCCUGGAUGUGAAACUCACUCACAGUUAUCAACUGUUUCACGUUUACUAAAUCUGAAGGCGGAACAUCAUUUCUCAGAACGGUGUUUUGAUCAGAUAUGUGAACUCAUGAAGGAGAUGUUACCGAGUGACAAUGUCAUGACAGACAGCUUUUACUCAACAAAGAGACUAGUCCAAGGAUUAGGGCUUCUUGUACAAAAGAUACACUGUUGUGUUAAUGGUUGUAUGAUUUAUUGGGAAAAUGAUAAAAAACUUACACGAUGCAAAUUUUGUGACCAUGAAAGGUUCAAACGCCUCAAGCACACCGUGGGGAAAGGGAAGAGUCAAAUACCAUAUAAAAAGAUGUAUUACUUUCCCAUUACAGCACGUUUGCAAAGACUUUAUGCAUCGUGUGUUACAGCUAAGUAUAUGACUUGGUACAAUGACCAUGCAACUGAGGAUGGGGUGAUGCUUCACUGUUCAGAUGCUCCUGCUUGGAAGCAUUUCAAACAAACUCAUCCAACCUUCGCACUGGAGGCCCGAAAUGUCAGACUUGGCCUUUGCACUGAUGGAUUUCAACCAUUCGGUCAAUCUGGGCAACAAUAUUCUUCAUGGCCAGUAAUACUAACUCCAUACAAUUUGCCACCAGGUAUGUGUAUGAAAGAUGAGUACAUAUUCCUGACAAUUAUCAUACCUGGUCCCAAGAAUCCGAAAGAGAAGCUUGAUGUGUACAUGUAGCCAUUAGUGGAAGAAUUGAAAGAACUUUGGGCAAUUGGUGUGAAUACUUACAAUAUUUUCCAGCAGAACAAUUUUACCAUGCGUGCUGCUUUAAUUUAGACUAUUAGUGACUUUCCUGCUUAUUCAAUGCUCUCAGGGUGGAGCACAGCAGGACGCACUGCAUGUCCCUACUGUAUGGAAAACACAGAUGCAUUUACAUUAAAAAGGGGGGGGGUAAGCAAAUAUGGUUUGACAGUCAUCGGAAGUUUUUGUCUGACGACCACCCUUUCCGUCGAAACAAGAUAUCUUUUAUUAAAAACAAAAGUGUAUCGAAGUCAUCGCCGCCAAUUAGAACUGGGAAAUAUUUGCUAAAAGAAAUUGAGCAAAUUGGGUUGAGGCGGAUAAUAGACAUUGACAAUCAUGAAAUAAAUGGUCGGCUUUCAAAGAGAACUGGUUGGCGUAAGCGGAGCAUAUUAUGGGAUUUGCCAUAUUGGUCGUCAAAUAUGAUUCGCCACAAUCUUGAUGUAAUGCACAUUGAAAAGAAUGUAUUUGAAAAUAUUUUUAAUACAGUGAUGAAUGUGGAGGGGAAGACAAAAAACAAUAUAAAAUCAAGGGAAGAUUUAAAUGAAAUAUGCAGGAGACCAGAAUUGAAGAAAGAUCCAAUUAGCGAAAAAUAUCCAAAAGCAUGUUAUUGUUUGGACAACCAAUCAAAGAUGAUACUGUGUGAUUGGCUUAAAAUACUAAAAUUUCCUGACGGAUAUAUUUCCAAUCUAGGGAGAUGUGUUGAUAGUCGGAAGCUUAGACUUUUUGGUAUGAAAAGCCACGACUGUCAUAUUUUUAUGCAACGAAUUCUUCCUAUAGCUCUCAGAGAGUUCUUACCAAAUAAUGUUUGGCAACCAAUAACAGAGCUUAGUAAUUUCUUUAGAGAACUCACCUCAACUACACUUAUUAAUUGGGACAUGCAACGGUUAAAUGAACAAAUUCCUGUGAUCCUUUGUAAGCUUGAACGAGUUUUUCCUCCAAGUCUGUUUGAUUCAAUGGAACAUUUACCAGUACACCUUGCAUAUGAGGCAUUAAUUGUAGGACCAGUAUAAUAUCGGUGGAUGUACCCAUUUGAGAGGUACACGUACUAAUUCUUCACUCUCAUUCCUUAGCAUGAUGAAUUAAUUAGUAUACAUAUCUAAUUUUUGUUUCCACACAGUAGAUACCUAAGAAAGUUAAAGAACAAUGUCAAAAAUAAAGCAAGGGUUGAAGGUUCAAUAUGCAAUGCUUACUUGGUAGAAGAAGCAGGUGCAUUUUCUGCUCAUUAUUUUGAAGCACAUGUAAUGACCAGAUAUCGAAAGGUUCCAUGCAACUUGCAUGAAUUUGUCUCUGAUGAUGACGUACCGGGUAAAUUAAGCAUAUUCAAAUGCACAGGUAGAACUAUCGGAAAAGAAAAAUCCAGAUAUAUGACUGAAGAUGAAAUCCAAGCUGCUCAAACAUAUAUUCUAUUAAAUUGUCCAGAGGUCAAAACAUAUAUUGAGUAAGUAUUGGUAGUUAUACUAAUAGUCUAAUACCUCUUAUAUUGUACCUUAUUGUUAAACAUUACUUGUUUCUUUGUAUGUAUAGCAUUUAUGUAGAGCGAGUAAAGUCGGCACAACCAAAUAUCACAGAUGCAGCUGUUGAUGAAAAACUAGAGAGAGAGUUUGUCCAAUGGUUUUACAAGUAUGCCCAUGAAUUGCAGAACAAUGUAGAAAAUCAGCUUAUACAAGAUCUGGCAAAGGGACCACUCAGAAGUGUCACCACUUUUAAUGGGUAUUGUGUUAAUGGAUGUAAAUUCAACACAAUCAAUGAAAGUUCAAGUAGUAACUCAAUGAAUUUUGGUGUAUGUAUAAAAGGGAGUAAUUACAGUUCUGAAGAAAGUGACUACUAUGGACAAUUGGUCGAGGUGUUGCGAUUGGAGUAUCCAGGGCUACUAAUUAAGCGGACUGUACUUUUCAAAUGUGACUGGUUUGAUCCAACACCAAAUACGGGCACCAAGGUGCAUAGACAGUAUAGAAUUGUUGAUAUUAACAAUAAGCGUAGAUACACUAAGUACGAGCCAUUUGUAUUGGCCUCUCAAGCAAUACAAGUCGUUUAUGCUUUAUACCCGAGCAAGCGUCGUGACAAAAAUGAUUAGUGGGCUGUGAUGAAAGUUAAAGGUAGACCCGUUGUUAAAGUAUCUCAAACAUCAUCAAAGACAUAUGAACCUUUUCAAGAAGAUGACCUAGAUUACACUGAAGUAAAUAUGGAUGAUAUUAAUCAACAACACUGCCUGAAUGAUCCUAGCGGAGGAAUGAUUGAGAUUCAUAAUGACGUUUCGACAGAGGAAGACGAAUUCCUUAGUGACCCUGAUUCCGAUGCAGAUGCAGAUGGUCAUAAUGAGUUCAAUUCAUAUGAAUCAGACUAAAUUCAUUUAUAUUGUAAAUCAGUUUGGAGUUGUAUAUUUCAUUUAUUUAUCAGUGAGUAACUUAAUACAUUUGUACAUUUUUAAUUUAAUGUUUAUGAACUUUAUAUUAUUUUUUGCAAUGACAAUUUUUGUUUGUUCACAGAUGAGGGGACGUGGAAGGGUUAAGAAGCCCAGAGGACCGGUUCAACUUCCUGCUAGUGCAAGUCAAGAGGACGCGACUACAGAUGAGGGACAAGAGCAUGAGCCGCAUUUACCACGGGCACCGACGGGACUUGGGGAUAGGAAACUUCAGAUAUGGGUACCACUUGCAUCCGGUGUAUAGCCAUAUCAUGGAGAUCGAUCAUAUACACCAGUUCCACCACGUACCGAUGCACAACUUCCCCGUCCCCUUCCACCUCCUCACCGUCACAAUCUACAUCCUCACCGGCCUACUGCAGCUCCACGACCAGCGGUAUCACAUACACAUUCACCUCAGCCUGCAUCCCCUUCUGGUACUGCAUCAGCUAGAGGGACAGGAUCUGCAUCAGCAUCUACUCCAUCAUCUGCUCCUGCAUCUGCUCCAGCAUCAGCUGCAUCGACCACUACUGUAGGCGGAACACGGUCAUUCCGACAGACUAUUUCACUCAUUAACAACAAUUUACAUUCGUCGGAGAUGUACAGCCACAGGAUUACUCUGAUAGUGAAAGAAAGAUUGGUCGAGGAAGGCCACUGUUGGAAGACAGUGCCCAAUGAAACUAAGGAGUUUUAUUGGCAGGAAUUCAAGAAAUACUUCAUGUGGGCCCAAGCAAUUGACAGCUUGGUAAAAAUUGCAUGGCAGAAAAAGGCAGCUGAGCGAUACAGAGGCUUAAUGUGGGAAAUCAGGAAAGGAAAAAUGAAGAAUCUUGCUACACCAGAUUCU